AUCCCUUUUCCAUGUAAAUUACCAUUUUUCAAACUUUGUUAAGAUCCAUGAAGUCUCACAAUUUGCAGGCUACCAUUCUGUUAAAUAAAGUUGAGGUUUUAUCCAAUUGUUUCAUAUUCUUAUUUGUUUCUACUUUAAAAUUGAAUUUUUAUGAUGAUAAUAUUGAAAUAAAUAAAUCAAUGAACAAUCAUUUUUCCUAAAUAAUAAGGCAUUUACUUUAAGAACGGUCAAUUUUAAAAGAAGAAUGUCAAUAUCAAUCUAAACAACGGUAAGUCUUAAUAUGUGAAGCAUUGUUGGUCUUCCCCGAGCAAUUGUUUGGUGACUUUACU
Molecule: long non-coding RNA, 329 nt
Filed under: Lathyrus oleraceus (garden pea)
Lineage: Eukaryota; Viridiplantae; Streptophyta; Magnoliopsida; Fabales; Fabaceae
Description: Pisum sativum (pea) long non-coding RNA (PSAT_LNC002366)
Source: RNAcentral